UACGGGGGGGGCAAGCGUUGUUCGGAAUUACUGGGCGUAAAGGGCUCGUAGGUGGCCAACUAAGUCAGACGUGAAAUCCCUCGGCUUAACCGGGGAACUGCGUCUGAUACUGGAUGGCUUGAGUUUGGGAGAGGGAUGCGGAAUUCCAGGUGUAGCGGUGAAAUGCGUAGAUAUCAGGAGGAACACCGGUGGCGAAGGCGCUCAUCUGGCCCAAUACUGACGCUGAGGCGCGAAAGCUAGGGGAGCAAACGGG
This 253-nucleotide ribosomal RNA is filed under the name uncultured bacterium. RNAcentral describes it as "partial 16S ribosomal RNA". It matches the Rfam family "Bacterial small subunit ribosomal RNA", at positions 524 to 776 of the family's 1533-position model. The record is from RNAcentral.